GUAAAGGAGAAAAGAGCUGCCGCCGCCGC
This 29-nucleotide small RNA is filed under the name Bombyx mori (domestic silkworm). RNAcentral describes it as "piRNA piR-bmo-1687155". The record is from RNAcentral. Lineage: Eukaryota; Metazoa; Arthropoda; Insecta; Lepidoptera; Bombycidae.